This is a transfer RNA of Nadsonia fulvescens var. elongata DSM 6958, 95 nucleotides long. It matches the Rfam family "tRNA". Rfam says of the family: Transfer RNA (tRNA) molecules are approximately 80 nucleotides in length. The record is from Rfam. NCBI's taxonomy places the organism in Eukaryota, Fungi, Ascomycota, Dipodascomycetes, Dipodascales.
GCUCCUUUAGCUCAGUUGGUAGAGCGUCAGUCUCAUAAUAGGGAUUCUCUUUAGAAGUCAUCUGAAGGUCGAGAGUUCGAACCUCCCAAGGAGCA